AUACCAUGGUGGGGGGCAUUUCCUCAAUAGCUCUUUGAAACGCUCCCAAGUAUCAUAUAAUGACUCUCCAUCCAUCUGAUAGAAGUUAUUGAUUUCUCCCCUCAAUUU
This is a small nucleolar RNA of Humulus lupulus (European hop), 108 nucleotides long. Lineage: Eukaryota; Viridiplantae; Streptophyta; Magnoliopsida; Rosales; Cannabaceae. The record is from RefSeq and is a predicted model, not a curated record.